UUGGAAUUAGGAAUGGAUCAACUGGAAAUCCAGGUUGGAAGAUACUUGGAAUUAGGAAUGGAUCAACUGUAAAUCCAGGUUGGGAGAUACUUGGAAUUAGGAACGGAUAAACUGUAAUCCAGGAAUCCUACAACCAGGAUUUCUGGAAACCUGGGAUUGUUGGGAAAGUUACCAGAAUUUUGCAACCCUACUUAUGCAUCUUAUAUCAUAGCUGUAGUCUUACCGACGGACCACUCUACAGGCAGAGUUUAGUGUUAUAAUUGUAUCAUCUUUCAAAUAGAUCAAUGUAGAUUUCAUCCAAGCAUUUAGAUUUCCUCCCUUUUCCAUAUAAAUGUAAUUCUGCCAAAAAUGUCUGUCACAGACUGGACCAUAUUGCAUUUUCUGGACCAUAUUCCUCCAAUACAAACUGCCAGACCACAUUGUCUAUUGCAAAGUGUUUUAGUCUUUAUUACAGCUUUUUAAAUGUACAAAACUUAGAUUUUAAGAAUGACAGCUAUUAUCUUAGAGAUGGGGCCUUGUAUCAGUUCAGGGUUGGUCACCAGUAGUGCUGUUGUUGGAUGCAUGAUGACACCUUCCGCUACAUUGGAGUCCAGUUUGCUGUGUGUUUAUAUUAAAGUGGAUAAAUGAUGCUUCUAACUUCCAGAAUCUUCCU
This is a long non-coding RNA of Oncorhynchus tshawytscha (Chinook salmon), 652 nucleotides long. Lineage: Eukaryota; Metazoa; Chordata; Actinopteri; Salmoniformes; Salmonidae. The record is from Ensembl.